UGAGGAAUAUUGGUCAAUGGGCGAAAGCCUGAUGCAGCGACGCCGCGUGGGGGAUGAAGGCCUUCGGGUUGUAAACUUCUUUUGCUCUGAACAAGGCAUGCCUUUGGGGUGUGUUGAGUGUAGGGGUUGAUUAGCGCCGGCUAACUACGUGCCAGCAGCCGCGGUAAUACGUAGGGCGCGAGCGUUGUCCGGAAUUAUUGGGCGUAAAGGGCUUGUAGGUGGCUGGUUGCGUCUGUCGUGAAAGCUCAUGGCUUAACUGUGGGUUUGCGGUGGGUACGGGCUGGCUUGAGUGCAGUAGGGGAGGCUGGAAUUCCUGGUGUAGCGGUGGAAUGCGCAGAUAUCAGGAGGAAUACCGGUGGCGAAGGCGGGUCUCUGGGCUGUUACUGACGCUGAGGAGCGAAAGCGUGGGGAGCGAACAGG
This 420-nucleotide ribosomal RNA is filed under the name Fusobacteriota bacterium. Its description in RNAcentral is "Fusobacteria bacterium partial 16S ribosomal RNA". It matches the Rfam family "Bacterial small subunit ribosomal RNA", at positions 355 to 776 of the family's 1533-position model. Lineage: Bacteria; Fusobacteriati; Fusobacteriota. The record is from RNAcentral.